Molecule: ribosomal RNA, 722 nt
Filed under: uncultured Bacilli bacterium
Lineage: Bacteria; Bacillati; Bacillota; Bacilli
Description: bacterial SSU rRNA
Rfam family: Bacterial small subunit ribosomal RNA
Source: RNAcentral
CUAAUACAUGCAAGUAGAACGCUGAAGGAGGAGCUUGCUUCUCCGGAUGAGUUGCGAACGGGUGAGUAACGCGUAGGUAACCUGCCUGGUAGCGGGGGAUAACUAUUGGAAACGAUAGCUAAUACCGCAUAACAGUAGAUAUUGCAUGAUAUCUGCUUGAAAGGUGCAAUUGCAUCACUACCAGAUGGACCUGCGUUGUAUUAGCUAGUUGGUGGGGUAACGGCUCACCAAGGCGACGAUACAUAGCCGACCUGAGAGGGUGAUCGGCCACACUGGGACUGAGACACGGCCCAGACUCCUACGGGAGGCAGCAGUAGGGAAUCUUCGGCAAUGGACGGAAGUCUGACCGAGCAACGCCGCGUGAGUGAAGAAGGUUUUCGGAUCGUAAAGCUCUGUUGUAAGAGAAGAACGAGUGUGAGAGUGGAAAGUUCACACUGUGACGGUAUCUUACCAGAAAGGGACGGCUAACUACGUGCCAGCAGCCGCGGUAAUACGUAGGUCCCGAGCGUUGUCCGGAUUUAUUGGGCGUAAAGCGAGCGCAGGCGGUUAGAUAAGUCUGAAGUUAAAGGCUGUGGCUUAACCAUAGUACGCUUUGGAAACUGUUUAACUUGAGUGCAAGAGGGGAGAGUGGAAUUCCAUGUGUAGCGGUGAAAUGCGUAGAUAUAUGGAGGAACACCGGUGGCGAAAGCGGCUCUCUGGCUUGUAACUGACGCUGAGGCUCG